UCAUCUCCCCAGCAUUGUCAGUUUGGACACCUUCGCACAUGCGCACAGAGCACUCAAUCUGACACCCCUCGCCGGGGCCAAAAAAACUUUGCAAUGUAUUCAUCAUCCUCAUCGUCGCGCCGCCGCCGCCGCCGCCGCCGCCUCGGCGCGGGAUUGGGGGGCUCUCCUCGGCCUUCUCCGUCUUCGUCUCACUUAUCUCUCCCCCCCUCUCCCCCCCUUUUCAGCGCAGCUCGGAACUGGCCCUUUAAGAAAACAUUCCGUGUUCGGCGCUCCCGCCCGGGGCCCGCACCCCGGACACUUUAAAAGGACCCAGGUGGCCCCGGAGGCGAGGUGACUAUCCCCCCACCCUGCCCCUGCGUCGCGGCGCGUCGUGCUCUGCUCCCGCCCCAGCCGGGGCCGAAGAUGGGGCGGCGGCUGCGGUUUUCCACACGACUUCCUUGGAUCUCCGGGCACACGCGCCGAUAGUUCGGACGCGAGUCCGGGCUGGUUUUGCUCCGUUUUACUGCGUUUUAUUACUAAUUUAAAAGCUUUGCGUUCCCUGUCGCCCCGGCCCGCUUUUCUCCUGCACUCUCCCCUCGGCCCCCGUCCCCGCCCCGCGAUCGCUGGAGGGGGCGUCGGGGAUCGCGCGCCAGAACCCGGCUCCUCCGAAGCCCCCUCCGGGCCCCACCGCCCCCCUCGGGCCUCCCGGCCCCCGCCUCCUCCCCUUCGCCCCCACCCAACGGCUGCUGCUUCGGGCUUCGCGGCUCAAAAACAACAGCGGAGGCGCCGCCAGCUCCGCGCUCCGCCACUGCCCAGGCCGGCGGGCGGCACUCGGACCCGCCGCCCUCGGUCCCUCGCGAGGCCGCGGAGGCCAACACGCCUCGCACCGGGGGACAGCGCGGGGGCAGCCGUCCAAACACCAGGCGUCCUCGGCUGGUCGUCCCAGGGCGCCCGCACCUCUCCGCCCGCGCUCUCCUGCCGCCGCGCCCCCAAGCCCCCAAACUCCGAGGCGCUGCGGCGGAGGGGCCGGGCUGAGCGCAGGCAGGGUGGCCCCGGCCCAGGAGCCUGACGGCCUGAGUGCGGAUUUCUCAUCUGAGUAUCUGGGAAUCGAGAAUGAAUUGGAAGGAAACCGAGGCGCUGCCCUGGCCGGGUUGCUGCCCCGCACCCUUCUGGAGCACCGAAGUCCUGCCCGGCAACGGGACUUGGAGCUGCCGCAGAGUCAGCCUGAGCCUGAGGCAGGGGUCGCGCCCGCGAUGCGGGGUCUCUCCACCGCCCCGCGAGGCUCCUGGCCGUGCCCUCCCUGCCCUUUGUUGUGUAAUGAGACCUGUGGCGGCUCCACUGAGACCCACACGUGCAACUCCGCGCCUCCGCGUUAAAGGAGGUGAAACGCAGCAGCCCUGAGAAACCCCGAGACCCCGGUGUCCUAGCAGAAGCAGCCCGGAUAGGGAGGGGCGCGGGGCCGGCGCUACCCCAGAGGAAAAGCCCAGCGGAGCCGGGUUGGGCAGGAGCCGGCGGCGGCGGUGCGCUGGGCCUUCUGCCUUGGAUCCUCCGCAGUCGGCACCGCUUCCCUGCUCAGAUUCGAACCCAGAUGCGGCUCCCAAGGCUCCCACGGCUCCAGGGUGCCCAGUCUUGCAGCCAGCUCGCCGCCCGAGCCCCGGAUGGAGGAAGCGCUCACUGGCCGCUACCUCUGCUGUUUCUGGCACCAGGCCUGGGAAACCUUCCUGUGCCCCAGAAUACUUGGAGAGGACAGGACACAGGUCCCAGUUGUGGCCCAGUGGCGGCAAGGUUCCGUUCCCUGGACUGCUCCAAGAUGGGCAGCUUCCGGGGACCGGCUUGCCAUCGGCAGGCACGAGGCUGUGGCCACCCCAGUGGAGACCCUCUGCCCGGCUUUGUGUCCUGGCAUCCCCACCAGGGUGUCCAGCUCUCCUGCGCAGAUGUCGGGAGUAUCUGGAGGCCCCAUGGGCCCUUCAAGGGCCCAAUCCGGAGUGCUUUGUUUUGUUUUAAGAGAUUGAGACUGUGAACCUGAACUUCCUUGAUCUUCUCCCGUUGGGCCCAGGAGGGAGCCGAAUCCAGGCCCAACCGGGCUCACUGAGAAGGUGCAGGAAGUCCCCAACGACUCCUACUCGUGUGCGGCCCAUACCGGGCCAGGAAGCUGCAGUGGCUGAGCCGCUGGGUGUCUGCAACGGGGAGCGCCCACGCCGCUGGGGGCAAUAAACGGAAUCGGUUUCCCACCCUUUCCCUCUUGAUCUAAGAACCUUUAAAAAUCUGCCAACGAAUGCCGUUGCCUGGAUGCGCUGCGUGUGACCUUCAGCCGUGUGUUCACGCGCGCCCGCAGCCGUGGAGUGGCGGUCCCUCCUGCCGCCCGCAACCCCAGGGCCGCCGGUCUGCCCACACCGGGAGCAACUUCGUUACCCACAGCGCCCGCGUCCUGCGGCUCGCGCGGAACUGCGCGCGGGAAGAUGGCAGAGGGAUGCUCCAGAACGCUGCUUGCGUAGACGCUGCCGCUGCCUUCAGAUCCCAAUUCGGCCGCGCGCGGUUGGGGCCCUGGCAGCAACGAAAAUGGCGAGCCUCGUAGCCUUCCGGGCCCGGCGGCCGCAUUCCGGGAGUCGCCAGGAGGCGCUGCAAGGCUCAGUGCUCCUGGAGCUUCGAGUCUACGAUGGGAAAACUGAUGCUCAGAGGCUUGAGCAACCUAGGCAAGGACCUGUCCUUAGAGGCAGAAGCAGGACUCAGAGGAAGAGCCCUCUGACCACAAAGCCCCAGGGUCCAGAAAGACUCAGCCACUGGAGUCUGUAUUUCCUGAGUCCGCCUCUCACUGCUGGAGCUGUUUAUCAUCGCUCCAACUUUCACUAAAAAGGAAAAACUAUCACUUAAACAAAGCCAUUGAAACCCCAGCAUCAUAUGUGGAUUUUUUUUAACAUAAAUAAAUCAUACAAACUAAGA
Molecule: long non-coding RNA, 2919 nt
Organism: Nomascus leucogenys (northern white-cheeked gibbon)
Lineage: Eukaryota; Metazoa; Chordata; Mammalia; Primates; Hylobatidae
Exons: 8
Source: RefSeq, a predicted model, not a curated record